AAGGCUUUAAGUUAAUUAAACUAAUAACCUUCAAAGCUAUAAAUAAAGAAUUGUUCUUUAAGCCUUA
This 67-nucleotide transfer RNA is filed under the name Symploce maxima. RNAcentral's name for it is "tRNA-Trp". Lineage: Eukaryota; Metazoa; Arthropoda; Insecta; Blattodea; Blattellidae. The record is from RNAcentral.